Molecule: ribosomal RNA, 745 nt
Filed under: Staphylococcus sp. X10-CRBM-E14
Lineage: Bacteria; Bacillati; Bacillota; Bacilli; Caryophanales; Staphylococcaceae
Description: bacterial SSU rRNA
Rfam family: Bacterial small subunit ribosomal RNA
Source: RNAcentral
UGCAGUCGAGCGAACGGAUAAGGAGCUUGCUCCUUUGAAGUUAGCGGCGGACGGGUGAGUAACACGUGGGUAACCUACCUAUAAGACUGGAAUAACUUCGGGAAACCGGAGCUAAUGCCGGAUAACAUUUGGAACCGCAUGGUUCUAAAGUAAAAGAUGGUUUUGCUAUCACUUAUAGAUGGACCCGCGCCGUAUUAGCUAGUUGGUAAGGUAACGGCUUACCAAGGCAACGAUACGUAGCCGACCUGAGAGGGUGAUCGGCCACACUGGAACUGAGACACGGUCCAGACUCCUACGGGAGGCAGCAGUAGGGAAUCUUCCGCAAUGGACGAAAGUCUGACGGAGCAACGCCGCGUGAGUGAUGAAGGUUUUCGGAUCGUAAAACUCUGUUAUUAGGGAAGAACAAAUGUGUAAGUAACUGUGCACAUCUUGACGGUACCUAAUCAGAAAGCCACGGCUAACUACGUGCCAGCAGCCGCGGUAAUACGUAGGUGGCAAGCGUUAUCCGGAAUUAUUGGGCGUAAAGCGCGCGUAGGCGGUUUCUUAAGUCUGAUGUGAAAGCCCACGGCUCAACCGUGGAGGGUCAUUGGAAACUGGGAAACUUGAGUACAGAAGAGGAAAGUGGAAUUCCAUGUGUAGCGGUGAAAUGCGCAGAGAUAUGGAGGAACACCAGUGGCGAAGGCGACUUUCUGGUCUGUAACUGACGCUGAUGUGCGAAAGCGUGGGGAUCAAACAGGAUUAGAUA